Molecule: microRNA precursor, 85 nt
Filed under: Bombyx mori (domestic silkworm)
Lineage: Eukaryota; Metazoa; Arthropoda; Insecta; Lepidoptera; Bombycidae
Description: mir-2807 microRNA precursor family
Rfam family: mir-2807 microRNA precursor family
Source: Rfam by way of RNAcentral
UUAACUCGAAUUUGUUUGGAGUUGGAACGUUUGCUUACGUUUGCCGCUAGGGGCGCUGUUCCAACUUCAUACUGACCUCGGGCUC